AACUCGGUCGGGAAAUUUGGGUUAGUCCCGCACGAGCGCAACCCUCGUUUUUAGUUGCCAGCAUUUAGUUGGCACUCUAGAGAGACUGCCGGUGACAAACCGGAGGAAGGUUGGGAUGACGUCAAGUCAGCAUGCCCCUUACGUCCUGGGCUACACACGUACUACCAAUGCUUCGGACAAAGGGUUGCGAGCUAGCGAUAGCAAGCUAAUCCCGUAAACCGAGGCUCAGUUCAGAUUGCAGGCUGCAACUCGCCUGCAUGAAGGAGGAAUCGCUAGUAAUCCCAGGUCAGCAUACUGGGGUGAAUACGUUCCCGGGCCUUGUACACACCGCCCGUCACACCAUGGGAGUUGGCCACGCCCGAAGUCGUUACUCCAACCGUUCGCGGAGGAGGAUGCCGAAGGCAGGGCUGAUGACUGGGGUGAAGUCGUAACAAGGUAGCCGUACCGGAAGGUGUGGCUGGAUCACCUCCUUUUAGGGAGACCUACCCGCAUUGUUGCUUGAACGCAAUUUGUUAUUAGAGCCAAUGUUGGUCAUCCCAAGGUCGUUCGAAGGAAUAGUGUUGGCUUUCAAACUAGCUUCGGUUUGGUUCAUGGGCUAUUAGCUCAGGUGGUUAGAGCGCACCCCUGAUAAGGGUGAGGUCCCUGGUUCGAGUCCAGGAUGGCCCACCUUUGAGAGCGGUCAGCCAUCAGUUUGGAGCUUUUUGAUAGAGUUUUGAGCUGAGCGUUGAUAGCUUUUCUGGGGGUUUAGCUCAGUUGGUAGAGCGCCUGCUUUGCAAGCAGGAUGUCAGCGGUUCGAGUCCGCUAACCUCCACUGAGUGAUGAUAAGUUUGAGCCAAUUGACGUGGAAGCGUUCAGCAACUCAUCUAGAGCUUCUAGAGAGCCUGCUGGAUUAGGUUCCAGCCAGAACCUUGAAAACUGCAUAGUACUUGUCAGGUAGAAAGAGCAACCAGUGCUCGACUGUUAAGUGCUGACCGUCAAACGUCAGGCUUAAGGGUGAGCGGCUGUGUUGUGAAGUCACAGACACCAAUGAAAUUGAUAGGUCAGG
This 1045-nucleotide unclassified non-coding RNA is filed under the name Stenomitos nagquensis CSML-F035. Its description in RNAcentral is "bacterial SSU rRNA". The stretch from base 1 to 473 matches the Rfam family "Bacterial small subunit ribosomal RNA", at positions 1057 to 1533 of the family's 1533-position model. Lineage: Bacteria; Bacillati; Cyanobacteriota; Cyanophyceae; Leptolyngbyales; Leptolyngbyaceae. The record is from RNAcentral.